UAGGGAAUCUUCCACAAUGGACGCAAGUCUGAUGGAGCAACGCCGCGUGAGUGAAGAAGGUUUUCGGACCGUAAAGCUCUGUUGUUGGUGAAGAAGGAUAGAGGUAGUAACUGGCCUUUAUUUGACGGUAAUCAACCAGAAAGUCACGGCUAACUACGUGCCAGCAGCCGCGGUAAUCGUAGGUGGCAAGCGUUGUCCGGAUUUAUUGGGCGUAAAGCGAGCGCAGGCGGAAGAAUAAGUCUGAUGUGAAAGCCCUCGGCUUAACCGAGGAAUUGCAUCGGAAACUGUUUUCUGAGUGCAGAAGAGGAGAGUAGAACUCCAUGUGUAGCGGUGGAAUGCGUAGAUAUAUGGAAGAAUACCAGUGGCGAAGGCGGCUCUCUGGUCUGCAACUGACGCUGAGGCUCGAAAGCAU
RNAcentral lists this ribosomal RNA (412 nucleotides) under uncultured bacterium. RNAcentral's name for it is "partial 16S ribosomal RNA". It matches the Rfam family "Bacterial small subunit ribosomal RNA", at positions 355 to 762 of the family's 1533-position model. The record is from RNAcentral.